This 72-nucleotide transfer RNA is filed under the name Camelus bactrianus (Bactrian camel). It matches the Rfam family "tRNA". Rfam says of the family: Transfer RNA (tRNA) molecules are approximately 80 nucleotides in length. Their secondary structure includes four short double-helical elements and three loops (D, anti-codon, and T loops). Lineage: Eukaryota; Metazoa; Chordata; Mammalia; Artiodactyla; Camelidae. RNAcentral also lists the same sequence under 2 other names. The record is from Rfam by way of RNAcentral.
AAGGGUAUAGCUCAGUGGUAGAGUGUGUGCUUAGCAUGCACGAGGUCCUGGGUCCAAUCUCCAGUACCUCCA